Molecule: long non-coding RNA, 1347 nt
Filed under: Equus caballus (horse)
Lineage: Eukaryota; Metazoa; Chordata; Mammalia; Perissodactyla; Equidae
Description: lncRNA (ENSECAG00000030012.3)
Source: RNAcentral
CAAUCCCCCCUUAGUUCUGGGUGGCUGUUGAUGGAGAUAAUUACUGCCCUGAUCUUGACUUCUCCUACCUACUCCCAACAUUCUUGUGUGUUCUGGUAAAGGUCACACUCUUAACUUCUGGUCCCAGGGAUCUCUUCUUAUCAGAUCACAUGACCUGCUCAGUUCCAUAUUCUGUCAGACAGCAUUGCCAUAAAGGCAAUUCACCUAUAGCAGAGAUAGAAUUCACACAUCAGUGAACAUUUAGCAGCACGUCUCCAAAGGGUAUGCACUUCCCUGUUAAGCUGUGACACACGGUUGAAAAAUACCAGACUAAAUGUUGGACCAAAUCCUUUCUAGAUCUUGCAUCUAUUUUUACAAUCACUACAGCGGAGAGAGAGAACAACAAAGCAAGUUAACGAAGAGCAGCCCGAAAAUCCAGAGGUCUCCUACUCAAAGUUUAAUCUUGUGGAAACCCUGUUCCUGUUUAAGAAGCACGUGUUUCAGUGACCAUUUGGGUUUCAGCUCCUACAUUUCCCUGUCUGAGAAGAAGACCAUUAGACAUUACCCAUUCCUGAUAUGCCCAAGUUACCCUUUCCAUAAAAAAGGACACAGAAAGGAAGAAACAUGCGUGGCUGGAAAAUAUCUAACUGCCAAGUUGCUCCUACAAUUGGAGAUGAGCCUUCUGGCUAAUUUUGAGCUGGUCAUUCUACCUGAUUCUUCUUUGGAAACAAGAAGACAAAUCGACCCAGUUGCUCACAUUGCAUCUGGAUCAUUCUGACCAAAAGUUCCAAAGGCACAGACCUCUAUUGGAUAUGGAUUGUUGGCCUGCGCAGCUUUACCCAGUGUGAGGGCUGAACUGUGCCCCCUUGAGAGAGCUGAAUGCUGGUGGUUUGGGCUGGGCAAGGGCUCUACUUCCACACUGGUGUGGAGAAGUCUUGUCUUGUGCUAUAAUCUGUAGAGAUACCCAGCUUUAUAGAAAGAAGAGAAAGAAAAAAAGAGGCAUAAGGGUUAAGUGAAAAGACAAAAGAAAGAGCAUGUGUAUAUGUGUGUAUGUUUCCAAAAAUCAGAGUGAGAGAUUGGGAAAAGAGAGUAAAGGGUUAGAUUUAUCUAAGAAAUUCUGCUGUGCAAAUCCUAGUAUAGCCUAGCAAUUUGGGGUUCUCACAAUAUAAUCAGAUCUCCAUUGGCUCCAAGACCAGAGAACUAACUAGCAGUGAAGUAUCCAUCUUUCUUAACAUUAUCAUUAAUAGUGGCCAAGUGUCAGUGUCCUUAUCUGUAAAGUAGGAGUUGUAUCUUCCUUGUAGGGAUGUUAGGUGGAUUAAACUGUCUAAUGCAUGUUAAUUGUGAAGUACUCUAUAAGCAGUCUAUAAG